AAGGACAGCAACUACCAACAGAUACAUUAGUAUGGCUAUUUGUUAGCUAUAAUUAGUUUCUUUGCCUUUAGUCUUUACAAAGUUGUGUGAAACAUUUCAUUUUGAUUGUGAUGAUGAAGUCUUUUAAUAUAUUGAUGAGUUUACUUUGA
Molecule: long non-coding RNA, 149 nt
Organism: Ipomoea nil (Japanese morning glory)
Lineage: Eukaryota; Viridiplantae; Streptophyta; Magnoliopsida; Solanales; Convolvulaceae
Exons: 3
Source: RefSeq, a predicted model, not a curated record